RNAcentral lists this transfer RNA (68 nucleotides) under Pteromalus puparum. Its description in RNAcentral is "tRNA-Asp". The record is from RNAcentral. Lineage: Eukaryota; Metazoa; Arthropoda; Insecta; Hymenoptera; Pteromalidae.
AAAAGAUUAGUUAAUAAUUUAUAACAUUAAUUUGUCAAAUUAAAAUAAUUAAUUUAUAAUAUCUUUUU